AGCGAACGCUGGCGGCAGGCUUAACACAUGCAAGUCGAGCGGGCACUUUCGGGUGUCAGCGGCGGACGGGUGAGUAACGCGUGGGAACGUGCCCUCUGGUUCGGAAUAACUCAGGGAAACUUGAGCUAAUACCGGAUACGCCCUUUUGGGGAAAGGCUUGCUGCCGGAGGAUCGGCCCGCGUCUGAUUAGCUAGUUGGUGAGGUAACGGCUCACCAAGGCGACGAUCAGUAGCUGGUCUGAGAGGAUGAUCAGCCACACUGGGACUGAGACACGGCCCAGAAUCGUACGGGAGGGAGCAGUGGGGAAUAUUGGACAGUGGGCGCAAGCCUGAUCCAGCCAUGCCGCGUGAGUGAUGAAGGCCUUAGGGUUGUAAAGCUCUUUUAUCCGGGACGAUAAUGACGGUACCGGAGGAAUAAGCCCCGGCUAACUUCGUG
Molecule: ribosomal RNA, 435 nt
Filed under: uncultured bacterium
Lineage: Bacteria
Description: partial 16S ribosomal RNA
Rfam family: Bacterial small subunit ribosomal RNA
Source: RNAcentral